GGCCGUGUCCCCACAGGUGUCACUGACCAGACUGACCCUGGGGAUGAUCAAUAGUGGCAUUGAUCCAGUAUCGGGGCAAGAUCAGUGCAAUAUUGGUCCAGUAUUGAUCCAGUAUAGAGGCAGGAUCGGUGCAGUAUUGAUCCACUAUUGGUGCAGCAUUUAUCCAGUAUUGAUCACUAUUGGUGCGGUAUUGAUACAGUAUCAGCGCAGGAUGGAUCCAGCAUUGAUCUGGUAUCAGAGCAGGAUCAGCCUGCUAUUGAUCUGACAUUGAUCGUGUAUCAGUGCAGGAUGGAUCCAGCAUUGAUCCGGUAUCAGAGCAGGAUCAGCCUGCUAUUGAUCUGACAUUGAUCAUGUAUCAGUGCAGGAUGAAUCCAGCAUUGAUCUGGUAUUGGAUCAGGACUGGUUUCAUUGAUCUAACAUUGAUCAGGUAUCAGCGCAGGAUGGAUCCAGCAUUGAUCCGGUAUCGGAGCAGGAUCAGCCUGCUAUUGAUCGGACAUUGAUCGUGUAUCAGUCCAGCACAGCUUGGGCAUUAAUCUGGCAUUGAUCCAGCAUUGAUCUGUAUUGAUCCGGCAUCGGCCCGGCAUUGAUUGGGCGCUGCUCGGCAUCAGCCGGGCUUUGCUCUGGGGCUCUGUGUCGGGAUUCAGUUCAUGAAGGAAUUUUGGAA
Molecule: non-coding RNA, 664 nt
Organism: Taeniopygia guttata (zebra finch)
Lineage: Eukaryota; Metazoa; Chordata; Aves; Passeriformes; Estrildidae
Source: RefSeq, a predicted model, not a curated record